Molecule: ribosomal RNA, 253 nt
Filed under: uncultured prokaryote
Description: partial 16S ribosomal RNA
Rfam family: Bacterial small subunit ribosomal RNA
Source: RNAcentral
UACAGAGGGUGCAAGCGUUGUUCGGAAUUAUUGGGCGUAAAGGGCGCGUAGGCGGUGCGGUAAGUCUGUAGUGAAAUCUCUGGGCUCAACUCAGAGUCUGCUAUAGAAACUGCCGUGCUGGAGUGUGGGAGAGGUGAGUGGAAUUCCCGGUGUAGCGGUGAAAUGCGUAGAUAUUGGGAGGAACACCAGUGGCGAAGGCGGCUCACUGGACCGGUACUGACGCUGAGGCGCGAAAGCGUGGGGAGCAAACGGG